RNAcentral lists this small RNA (27 nucleotides) under Bombyx mori (domestic silkworm). RNAcentral describes it as "ovarian small RNA-38322". The record is from RNAcentral. Lineage: Eukaryota; Metazoa; Arthropoda; Insecta; Lepidoptera; Bombycidae.
UUUCGCCGGAUCUUUUCAGCGGGUCGC